Molecule: ribosomal RNA, 1179 nt
Filed under: uncultured bacterium
Lineage: Bacteria
Description: bacterial SSU rRNA
Rfam family: Bacterial small subunit ribosomal RNA
Source: RNAcentral
AGAGUUUGAUCCUGGCUCAGGACGAACGCUGGCGGCGUGCUUAACACAUGCAAGUCGAACGGGCUCAGUAGCAAUAUUGAGUUAGUGGCGAACGGGUGAGUAACACGUGACUAAUCUGCCCCGGACUGGGGAACAACGGAGGGAAACUUCCGCUAAUACCGCAUAUUGAGCGUGGCCUACAUGGACUGUGCUUGAAAGCUCCGGCGGUCCGGGAUGAGGUCGCGCCCCAUUAGCUUGUUGGCGGGGUAACAGCCCACCAAGGCGACGAUGGGUAGCUGGUCUGAGAGGACGAUCAGCCACACUGGGACUGAGAUACGGCCCAGACUCCUAUGGGAGGCAGCAGUGAGGAAUAUUGCGCAAUGGACGAAAGUCUGACGCAGCAACGCCGCGUGAGGGAUGAAGGUGCUUUGCAUUGUAAACCUCUGUAGAGAGGGACGAAUCGCCCGGUGUUCCGGGCAUUGACGGUACCUCUAAAGUAAGCACCGGCUAACUCCGUGCCAGCAGCCGCGGUAAUACGGAGGGUGCAAGCGUUGUCCGGGAUUUACUGGGUGUAAAGGGCGUGUAGGCGGGAGAAUAUGUCGGAAGUGAAAUCGUACGGCUUAACCGUAGCAAUGGCUUCCGAAACUGUUCUUCUUGAAUGCAGGAGAGGCAGAUGGAAUUCCUGGUGUAGCGGUGGAAUGCGUAGAUAUCAGGAAGAACACCGGUGGCGAAGGCGGUCUGCUGGCCUGUGAUUGACGCUGAGGCGCGAAAGUGUGGGGAGCAAACAGGAUUAGAUACCCUGGUAGUCCACACCGUAAACGAUGGUCACUAGUUGUCGGAGGAUUCGACCCCUUCGGUAACGACGCUAACGCAUUAAGUGACCCACCUGGGGAGUACGCUCGCAAGGGUGAAACUCAAAGGAAUUGACGGGGGCCCGCACAAGCGGUGGAGCAUGUGGUUUAAUUCGACGCAACGCGAAAAACCUUACCUGGGCUUGACAUGCCGAGAACCCUGUGGAAACAUGGGGGUGCCCCGCAAGGGGAGCUCGGACACAGGUGCUGCAUGGCUGUCGUCAGCUCGCGCCGUGAGGUGUUGGGUUAAGUCCCGCAACGAGCGCAACCCUCAUCCUUAGUUGCCAUCAUCAAGUUGGGCACUCUAAGGAAACUGCCGCAGUUAAUGCGGAGGAAGGUGGGGAUGACG